UCCAAGCCUAGAUCCUAAUGAAAAUUGAGGGCCAAGGAUACCUCCUUCAACCAUAGCCAAUGAAGGCCCCACCAAUGAGGAGCUAGAGGAAGUAUUACCUCUUCUACCACAACUAUAGCCACAAUAGUGAGGACUGCCUCUAAUUGAAGGAUAAAAUUGAAGUUUUGAUUUGAAGGGGUUACCUCGACAGAUAUUUUCAGAAGUGGGAGAAUCGAGCAACUGAAGAGCCAUCUCGGUACUAGCCCAAUGAGAAGAACAAUGGUAACCAAUCAACAAUUGGUAUUACCAAUAUAAUUUUGGACUUCACUAAUGGUAGGGGACAGAGGACCAAGUUGGAGAAUUGAAGAGGCAAUGCAUCGGGGAUGUCUUUUCUUUUCCUGAUGAUGAUCUUCGAGGAGUUCAAAAUUCUUAUGAUGAUAUUGUCGUCGUAUCAAUGAUUAUGGCAAACUAUGAU
Molecule: long non-coding RNA, 454 nt
Filed under: Elaeis guineensis (African oil palm)
Lineage: Eukaryota; Viridiplantae; Streptophyta; Magnoliopsida; Arecales; Arecaceae
Description: long non-coding RNA (EGUI_LNC020529)
Source: RNAcentral